ACUGUGGGUAGGGGUGAAAGGCCAAUCAAACUAGGAGAUAGCUCGUACUCCCCGAAAUGCUUUUAGGAGCAGCGUGAAUUAAUAGUCUAGCAGAGGUAGAGCUACCGAUUGGACUAGGGGGAGUCAAAUCCUACCAACUCCAGACGAACUCCGAAUGCUGCUAGAUGUUUAUUUGCAGUGAGGGCAUGGGUGCUAAGGUCCAUGUCCAAGAGGGAAACAACCCGGAUCCUCAGCUAAGGUCCCUAAAUCUAUACUAAGUUGAUCUAAGGUAGUUCAAUUACUCAGACAGCCAGGAUGUUGGCUUGGAAGCAGCCAUUCAUUUAAAGAGUGCGUAACAGCUCACUGGUCGAGCGAUAGAGCAUCAAUGAUAAUCGGGCAUAAAGUAUAGUACCGAAGCUAGGAACUCUACGGAGUGGUAGGGGAGCAUUCUAUUUGCAUCGAAGAAAAAUUGUAAGGUUUUUUGGAGCGUAUAGAAUAGAAAAUGUAGGCAUAAGUAACGAUAAUGCAGGUGAGAAACCUGCACACCGAAAGACUAAGGUUUCCUGAACAACGCUAAUCGGUUCAGGGUUAGUCGGGACCUAAGGCAAACCCGAAAGGGGUAGUCGAUGGACAAUCGGUUAAUAUUCCGAUACUACCUUUAUCAGUGAUGGAGUGACGAAGUAGUGAAAGAUCCGCGUACUGACGGAAUAGUACGUUGAAGCGAGUAGGUAUAAGUUUUGUUGGCAAAUCCGCAAGACUUGCUGAACGUGAUAGUACCACAAACCUUCGGGCGAGUGGAUAGUGAUCCUAAUCAGACUUCCAAGAAAAACUUCUAAACUUAUGAUAUAGGUACCCGUACCGUAAACCGACACAGGUAGUCGAGGAGAGAAUCCUAAGGUGCUCGAGUGAUUCAUGGCCAAGGAACUAGGCAAAAUAGUCCUGUAACUUCGGGAGAAAGGACGCCUCCCUCUUCGGAGGAGGCCGCAGUGAAUAGGCCCAGGCGACUGUUUAUCAAAAACACAUGGCAUUGCAAAUUCGAAAGAAAAAGUAUAAUGCCUGACACCUGCCCGGUGCUGGAAGGUUAAGGAGAGAUGUUAGAAACUUGUUUCAAAGCAUUGAACUGAAGCCCCAGUAAACGGCGGCCGUAACUAUAACGGUCCUAAGGUAGCGAAAUUCCUUGUCGGGUAAGUUCCGACCUGCACGAAUGGUGUAACGAUCUGGGCACUGUCUCAGCCAUGAGCUCGGUGAAAUUGUAGUAUCGGUGAAGAUGCCGAUUACCCGCAACGGGACGGAAAGACCCCGUGAACCUUCACUACAACUUAACAUUGAUUUCGGAUAAAUGAUGUGUAGAAUAGGUGGAAGACUUUGAAGCGGUUUCGUUAGGAAUCGUGGAGUCAACAAGUGAAAUACCACCCUUUAUUUGUUGGGAAUCUAAUCCUUUUAGGAGACAGUGUUUGGUGGGUAGUUUGACUGGGGUGGUCGCCUCCAAAAGAGUAACGGAGGCUCCCAAAGGUACCCUCAGCACGCUUGGUAACCGUGCGUAGAGUGUAAUGGCACAAGGGUGCUUAACUGAGAGACUUACAAGUCGAACAGAGACGAAAGUCGGGCAUAGUGAUCCGGUGGUUCCGCAUGGAAGGGCCAUCGCUCAAAGGAUAAAAGGUACUCCGGGGAUAACAGGCUGAUC
RNAcentral lists this ribosomal RNA (1663 nucleotides) under metagenome. RNAcentral describes it as "bacterial LSU rRNA". It matches the Rfam family "Bacterial large subunit ribosomal RNA", at positions 808 to 2487 of the family's 2925-position model. The record is from RNAcentral.